AAGCCUCCUCUGUCCAUCUGCAGGAGGUUCCCCAAGAUGGGCAGGGGACGGGGUCCUGGUGGGAGGUGACCAUGAGCCUUUGGGUGGCCCCUGACCAGGAGCAGUAAGAAGCCCAUGAGGAGAGCAAGGAGGAGCAGGACACUGGGCUCCAUGGUCCUGGUCUGAGCACCGUCCACUCCACUGCACACUCCAGCAGGACUUUUAUGCUGGACCUGGAUCUCCAGCCAGUUGAGCAACUUCAGCUGUUCCCGCCUCCUGUCUCCUCCCUGUCCAGGAGUGUGAGCAUCAUACUUCCUGCUUGGGCUGUCAGUAACUUGCUCACGCCCUAUCACCUCCCCCCACCCUAGAUGUUGGCAAGGACACCAUGAAACAGGUACACAGGACAAAGGGCAUAGGGAGUAAUGCAUCUCGAUUUCUGGGGUUCCUUUGUAACAGGAAUUUGGCCUUGGUGACAAGAAGAGCAAGGAAUGAAGAAAAAAUGGCACCAGAUUGUGCUGUUAGGAUGAACAUGACCAUAUUACUCAAAGGCUGGAAUCAUUAUCAGUUGGGGCUCCUGGCUUGCUAUGGGAGCUCGUGACUGAUCACAUGGCAGUGGGAGAUGAGAAACGAGAGAGAAAGAGACAAGCUGAAAUCAGGCCCAGAGUAUAAGACAUCAUCUAAUCUAUCUAUAGCCAUUGUGAAGAUAAUAUAUCUCCCCCAAAGUGUAAGGACUGUGACAGUUACUGUAUGAAAUGUACUUCAUGGCUCCCACUGGGAAUCCUGGGUUCAAAUAAUGACCGAAGUCCAGUGUCAGAUCCCCCUGCUUGACAGGACCAAGGUAAUCCUCCUUAUACAGAGAGAAACCGGGUCGUAGAGGAGUGAAGUGUGAAAAUGUCAUAAGGUAUCCAUUAUUUUGUACACUACAAAAGUUAGUGAAAAGUUGAAGAGGAGCUGGGGAAAUAGUUCAGUAGGGAAUAUACCUGCCUUAUAAGCACAAGGACUGAAGUUUGGAUCCCCAGCACCCAUGUAAAUCUAGGCAUGGACAUACAUAGAGCACAUACAUGGAACCCCGGCAUUUGGAGGGUGGAGCAGGUAGAGACCGGUCUCAUUCGUCAAUUAAUUAAACUAUUUAAUUAACUAAUUAAUUAAAGUAAUUAAUAAAGUGGAGAACAACUGAGGAAUGCUGUGGGAGCUCCUUCAGCCAAUAGCCUUUAAGAUACCAGCCCACUUGGGUGUGGUCUCUUUGGCUUGAAAAAACAGCAGUAGCUGUGCGCGCUCUCUCUCUUGCUUCGGACUCCGCUUCUGGCUAACAUACUCUUUUCCCUCUUUUCCUGGCUGUGCAGAGGGCUGUUGUCUAGGAUGGUGAUUUGUAAGUUUUUCCCUUUAAAUAAAUAACCCUUUUAUUAAUCAUAAUUCCAAACUGGUGUGGGAUUGUUUUGUGACUUACUCCUUUAGAGGAAGAUACUAAUAUUACUGCCUCUGCACAUAAGCAGUAGCACAUUCACCACACACACACACACACACACACACACACACACACACACACGAUGGAGGUCUCUCACACACAUACACACACACAACAUACACAACAAUUUUUAAAGGGGAAAAAUAAUUAAAGCAUUUUGUAAAUGUUUAAUAGUGUACACAGACUGGCCACAAAGGAAAUGGUGAUGUAAGUCAUGUGUAUGUAUCUCUGCUUUGGGGUUUCCCGUCUGUAAGUCUAGGGACAGAAGACCCACACAAGAACUUCAGAACAAUGAAGCAUUUGGUGUUCAUGGUGGCAACUUUAGGGAAACAAAUGUAGCACUAAUUAAGCACAUAAAAGUGCAUGAGCCAGUGUUGGGGCACAUGCCUUUAAUCCCAGCAUGCAGAAGGCAGGGCCAGGUGGAUCUCAGUGAAUUCCAGCCCAACCUGAGCCACAAAGUGAGUUCUAGGACAGUCGGGGAUACAUAGUGAGACCAUGUCUCAAAUCACUGAAAGUAUAAAUUUGUGCAGUUCUCUUACUGUGAAUUAGCAUCAUCCAAUGACACAUCUAGAAAGUCACUAGAUAGUCCUCAGGCUGUGUCUGCUAGCUUCCAAAUCAUCUCUGAAUGCCCUGAAGCCAGAGGUAUCAACACAGCAAUACCCUGGAGAAAACUGAAUAAAGUGACUACAACCAACAGCACAGUCCUGCAUCUGAGGCUCAGAGAUCAUUGUGGAAGAGAAUGGGAAAUGGGAUAGGACUUCCAGCUGCUCUGGAUUACUAUUUGACAACCUAGAGUGAGGCACCCAACCUGUCAAGUGAGGUAACUGGGAAAGAAACACAAAUGGCACCCAGAGCUGCCAUGGUGAACCAAGUGGAGGAGGAGAUGGUGGCAGGCAAUGGUGGUCGGUUGGGUGGAUGAUCAAAGUGGCAGCAGGAACCAGAAGGCAGGGGUGGAGAACCCUGCCCCAUGCAGCUUCUGGGGAAGGUGAGCUGGAACUGUUUGGACAAUUAGAGUAUCAGCUUUUCUACCACUGCACAGGUGGGUAUACACUGACCUGAUUGUAAACAGUUUUCUUCCAUCUCCCACUAGACUUGACAAUUCUGGUUCCAUUUUUUACUUUAUUUGCAUACAUAUACAUUCAGCCAAUCAGGGUCCAGAGAGCCCCCCAUAAAUUUGGGUUAGGUUAAGUCUGAAGGGGAAAGUCAUUGAAUGGUCAGAGAAGGAAGAUUCCACAACCCACAUCCUGGCCAGAGCCUGACUCUUGGGCAGGUUCCUGGCUCCUGGCUGAGGGUUGAACUUCCAGAGACAUUACCGAGAAGGAACAGUGUGGUAAAGAUUCACAGAGACAGACAAUUUUGAGGAUUGCUGCCCUGAUGCUUUUGUCUCAAGCAUGGAGACAGCUCCCUAUCCCACCAUUUCAGCCUGUGGGACUCUACUGUGGCCACAGGCAGGUGGACAGAUUCCUGCUUCUGCCGCUAAGACUCCAUCCUUUGGCUGAAGAUGAGAAUUCAUUUCCGAGGUUGGCUCUAGCCCUUGAGACUUGCCCAGGGACAGAAGACCAGGAGUGCAGAGAUAUGAUGCUCACAGUGUCUCAUGGAGGGUGUCCUUCUGCCAACAUGGGAUCUCAAUGUUUACCUUCUCAUUUAAAUGGUUGCUCCCAUGAUGUAAAUAAAGUUCCCUUGUUGUCCAGUCA
Arvicola amphibius (Eurasian water vole) is the source of this 3138-nucleotide long non-coding RNA. RefSeq lists it as uncharacterized. NCBI's taxonomy places the organism in Eukaryota, Metazoa, Chordata, Mammalia, Rodentia, Cricetidae. The record is from RefSeq and is a predicted model, not a curated record. The transcript is spliced from 3 exons.